AAAGGCGGGUUAGGAAAUUGUAUACUUUCCUUUUCCCUCUCUUCCCGUUCUAUUCUCUAGACCUAAACCCAAAGCUCUCAUUUUUUUCCUCUAAUCUAAAAACCCUAUCUCUAAGCCGGUCUCCUCACUCACUCUUCCCCGAUCCCUCUCCUUCUCUCUCUCUCUCCUGCUCCCUCAACUACGACGGCGAGGGGAUAGACGAGGCUUCAACCACGGUGGAGGUCGACGGGGCUGACAGAGGCUCAGCGGGACUGCCGGAGGCUCGACGACGUGGACUCGGAGACUCGUUGGUGCAGAAAAAAGAAUUGGAAGCCGAGCUGGUGAAUGUAACAGGGGCAGCUAGGCCAUGUCGCAAAAUAAGGUCUGAGCAAGACAAGGAGCUAGAAAAGGAGGUUGUAUCUAAAGUUGUGGGUGCUGGCCCAUCUGAGGAAUCUAUAUCUGAUGCUCCUCAGGAAAUAGAUGAGUAUGAGCUCGUUGAUCCUGUUCAUAUAUUGGCUCCUUUGGAGAAGUCUGGAUUUUGGGAUGGAGUGAAAGCAACCAAGUGGUCAGAAUGGAAAUAGGCUGUUGCAGAGCUAACCAAGCUUGCUUCAACAAAAAGAAUAGCACCCGGUGAUUUCUCAGAAAUCUGUCGGACACUAAAAAAGCUCAUAACAGAUGUUAAUAUCGCUGUAGCAGUCGAGGCAAUUCAAGCUAUUGGCAAUCUUGCUCGGGGUUUAAGAACUAAUUUCUCUGCAAGUUCACGCUUCCUAUUGCCAGUUUUGCUGGAAAAAUUGAAAGAGAAAAAACCUGCCUCUACUGAGGCACUAAAUCAAAGUCUUCAGGCAAUGCAUACAGCUGGGUGCUUAAGUCUAGCUGACAUUGUGG
Long non-coding RNA from Humulus lupulus (European hop), 864 nucleotides. RefSeq lists it as uncharacterized. NCBI's taxonomy places the organism in Eukaryota, Viridiplantae, Streptophyta, Magnoliopsida, Rosales, Cannabaceae. The record is from RefSeq and is a predicted model, not a curated record. The transcript has 7 exons.